This 450-nucleotide ribosomal RNA is filed under the name uncultured bacterium. Its description in RNAcentral is "bacterial SSU rRNA". It matches the Rfam family "Bacterial small subunit ribosomal RNA", at positions 354 to 796 of the family's 1533-position model. The record is from RNAcentral.
GUGGGGAAUAUUGGACAAUGGGCGAAAGCCUGAUCCAGCCAUGCCGCGUGUGUGAAGAAGGUCUUCGGAUUGUAAAGCACUUUAAGUUGGGAGGAAGGGCAGUAAGUUAAUACCUUGCUGUUUUGACGUUACCGACAGAAUAAGCACCGGCUAACUUCGUGCCAGCAGCCGCGGUAAUACGAAGGGUGCAAGCGUUAAUCGGAAUUACUGGGCGUAAAGCGCGCGUAGGUGGUUUUGUAAGUUGGAGGUGAAAUCCCCGUGCUCAACCUGGGAACUGCCUCCAAAACUGCAUGACUAGAGUACGGUAGAGGGUAGUGGAAUUUCCUGUGUAGCGGUGAAAUGCGUAGAUAUAGGAAGUAACACCAGUGGCGAAGGCGACUACCUGGACUGAUACUGACACUGAGGUGCGAAAGCGUGGGGAGCAAACAGGAUUAGAAACCCUGGUAGUCC